UACUCCUUAGGGAGGCAGAGUGGGGAAUAGGGAACAAUGGACAAAAGCCUGAUCCAGCAACGCCGCGUGAGGGAUGACGGCCUUCGGGUUGUAACCUCAUUCCUCUUCUAGACGAAGCCGUUAUGAGGGU
This 130-nucleotide ribosomal RNA is filed under the name uncultured bacterium. RNAcentral's name for it is "partial 16S ribosomal RNA". It matches the Rfam family "Bacterial small subunit ribosomal RNA", at positions 334 to 467 of the family's 1533-position model. The record is from RNAcentral.